AGUGAACGCUGGCGGUAGGCCUAACACAUGCAAGUCGAACGGCAGCACAGUAAGAGCUUGCUCUUACGGGUGGCGAGUGGCGGACGGGUGAGGAAUACAUCGGAAUCUACUUUUUCGUGGGGGAUAAUGUAGGGAAACUUACGCUAAUACCGCAUACGACCUACGGGUGAAAGCAGGGGAUCUUCGGACCUUGCGCGAUUGAAUGAGCCGAUGUCGGAUUAGCUAGUUGGCGGGGUAAAGGCCCACCAAGGCGACGAUCCGUAGCUGGUCUGAGAGGAUGAUCAGCCACACUGGAACUGAGACACGGUCCAGACUCCUACGGGAGGCGGCAGUGGGGAAUAUUGGACAAUGGGCGCAAGCCUGAUCCAGCCAUACCGCGUGGGUGAAGAAGGCCUUCGGGUUGGAAAGCCCUUUUGUUGGGAAAGAAAAGCAGCAGGUUAAUACCCCGCUGUUCUGACGGUACCCAAAGAAUAAGCACCGGCUAACUUCG
This 490-nucleotide ribosomal RNA is filed under the name uncultured bacterium. Its description in RNAcentral is "partial 16S ribosomal RNA". It matches the Rfam family "Bacterial small subunit ribosomal RNA", at positions 29 to 505 of the family's 1533-position model. The record is from RNAcentral.